ACUUUUUUAGUACAACCAGUACAAGAGACUUCCAAUCUCUUAAUCUUGGUAGAACCCCAAGAAGAAGUA
This 69-nucleotide transfer RNA is filed under the name Chalcorana mocquardi. Its description in RNAcentral is "Hylarana mocquardi tRNA-Gly". The record is from RNAcentral. Lineage: Eukaryota; Metazoa; Chordata; Amphibia; Anura; Ranidae.